GACGAACGCUGGCGGCGUGCUUAACACAUGCAAGUCGAACGGUGAAGGGGCCUGUUUUUGUGGGCCCUUGAUGAGUGGCGCACGGGUGAGUAACACGUGAGUAAUCUGCCCCCUUCUUCUGGAUAACCGCAUGAAAGUGUGGCUAAUACGGGAUGUUCUUGUUCUUUCGCGUGUUGGGUCUGUGAAAGAUUUCGCCUUUUGGUGUUUUUGGUGGGUGAUUGGUUCGCUGCCUAUCCGCUUGUUGGUGGCGUGAGCGCCUACGAAGGCGGUGACGGCGAGGUCGUCUGGGAGGGUGGAUGGGCAUAGGGGGAGUGAGACACGGUCCGGAUUCCUACGGGGGGUAGAAGUGGGGAAUAUAGUACAAUGGGUGGCAGCAUGAUGCAGAGACGCCGCGUGAGGCAGGGAGGCCUUCGGGUUGUCACCCUCUUUCGCAAGUGAAGCAGGCCGGCUCCUUGUGGGUGGGUGGACGGUAGCUGGAUAAGAAGCGCCGGCUAAAUACGUG
RNAcentral lists this ribosomal RNA (502 nucleotides) under uncultured bacterium. RNAcentral's name for it is "partial 16S ribosomal RNA". It matches the Rfam family "Bacterial small subunit ribosomal RNA", at positions 28 to 507 of the family's 1533-position model. The record is from RNAcentral.